GACGAACGCUGGCGGCGUGCUUAACACAUGCAAGUCGAACGAGACGAUUGAAAGCUUGCUUUCGAAAGUCGAGUGGCAAACGGGUGAGUAACGCGUAGACAACCUGCCUUUGAGAUGGGGACAACAGUUCGAAAGGACUGCUAAUACCGAAUGUUGUAUAUUUUCCACAUGGAAGAUAUAUUAAAGAUGGCCUCUAUUUAUAAGCUAUCGCUCAAAGAUGGGUCUGCGUCUGAUUAGCUAGUUGGUGGGGUAACGGCCUACCAAGGCGACGAUCAGUAGCCGGUCUGAGAGGAUGAACGGCCACAUUGGGACUGAGACACGGCCCAGACUCCUACGGGAGGCAGCAGUGGGGAAUCUUCCACAAUGGACGAAAGUCUGAUGGAGCAACGCCGCGUGAGUGAAGAAGGGUUUCGGCUCGUAAAGCUCUGUUGUCGGGGACGAAUGUGCAUUACUUGAAUAAAGUAGUGUAAUGACGGUACCUGACGAGGAAGCCACGGCUAACUACGUGCCAGCAGCCGCCGCGG
RNAcentral lists this ribosomal RNA (524 nucleotides) under uncultured bacterium. RNAcentral's name for it is "partial 16S ribosomal RNA". It matches the Rfam family "Bacterial small subunit ribosomal RNA", at positions 28 to 523 of the family's 1533-position model. The record is from RNAcentral.